RNAcentral lists this ribosomal RNA (253 nucleotides) under uncultured bacterium. Its description in RNAcentral is "partial 16S ribosomal RNA". It matches the Rfam family "Bacterial small subunit ribosomal RNA", at positions 524 to 776 of the family's 1533-position model. The record is from RNAcentral.
UACGUAGGGUGCGAGCGUUGUCCGGAAUUAUUGGGCGUAAAGAGCUCGUAGGCGGUCUGUCGCGUCUGCUGUGAAAACCCGAGGCUCAACCUCGGGCCUGCAGUGGGUACGGGCAGGCUAGAGUGCGGUAGGGGAGAAUGGAACUCCUGGUGUAGCGGUGGAAUGCGCAGAUAUCAGGAAGAACACCGAUGGCGAAGGCAGUUCUCUGGGCCGUAACUGACGCUGAGGAGCGAAAGCGUGGGGAGCGAACAGG